CAGAAUCCUCGCUGGCAGGGACUGCGAUUCCCAGAGCCCCUCGCGGUUGGUGGAGGGUCCCAAGCCAGCGGCAGCGGUAGCGACGUGCUGCCUCUCUGCAGAGUUGUGGUGCUGUGUCCCCCAAAGCGGAAGGAUACUUGGUUCUCGGUACCAGUUUUUGGAUUCAGGCAUGCUCUCACCACCAUUAGCAGUGACCCUCCAGAGACUUUGUACGCUUCAUUCCCAAGGGUGACAGACUUCACUGACAGAGGACAGAGCGUCUUACACUUGAUUAUAAGCUACAGAUAUGACGUGGGAAACGUGCUCCUUCUGUCCAGAGGCCCAGAGGUCAGAAGAGGAGCCGCUGUCUUUUUAAGGGUGUUGACACUUGCGGAAGAGGCAGGGCUGCUGUUAUCACCACAGAAGGGGGAGGAGUACGAGUGGAUUCAGAGACACCUAAAAUUGGGACAAACGGAUCUAAAGGAGGGAGGGACUGUGUCUUCACUAGAUGCGUCACCCAGAUCCCUCCUCAAGGACUAGCUGCCCAGAUUUUUCAGAGUUGGCCGCCGCUGCAAAGAGCCGAUUCGCCUGCGAGUACGCCCUUCCUAAGGCAGCUUCAGAUGACGGAGCAACUCAAGCCUGUAAAACCUAAUCUUGGCCCAAGAUGAGACACUGUUAUGAAGAGUAUUUGUUUCAGAGCUUCCGUACUGGCUUGGCAAAGAUUGCAACAACUACACUGCAUUCUGACUUCUUCCUACUGAUUCUCCAAUCACUUCACAGCCAUUGAUCCUCCAUAAACAUCCUGCACCCAAAACUUCACCUUAGUAUCUGCUUGCAAAGAACCCAAUUUACGACUUUCGUAGGGAUAUAUGGGUUGUAAGUAACAAACACAACCUGAACCAGCUGAAGCAAACUUGGGGAUUUAUUCGAAGUAUCUUAUAGAAGAAUCCGAUGAUGAAGGCAUGAAAAGGGCAGAGAUGAAUAUGCACGUCAAGAACCAGAUUUUGGGACUCACUCAGGGCUGUUCCAUGGCUUUGCUUCUAUAAUGGCUUCAUUCUUCUCUCUCAUUGCAGACUACGCUUCUCCGUGUGGUAGAAAACAUGGGUACAGAUAAGCACUCACAUUUAUAUAGUAAAUCUUCAUUGCUCAAGUUAUACAGACAAGAUAGUCCCAGCUUUCCAGAAGCUUUCUCAUGGAAAAGAUACAACAUGCAAUGAUUAUAUUAUCCAGUGACAAAUACAGGUACAGGUUCAUAUAGAUUAGAUAGGCAUUAACAAAAAACAGGAGCAUUUCAGUGGCAGAUUUGCAAAAAGCAUCUGAAUGUAGAAAUUUCAAGGAACUGCAAGUACAAGGAGGCCAAAAAGUAGUGUGUAGGAGAAAAAGUAUUCAGAAAUGGAGAUGCAUGUAUUUGUAUGAAAGUCCUCACAUACCAUAAACAUAUUACACUUUCUUUCUGAAGUCCACAGUUAGCCACAUAAUAUUUCAACACAGGAGUGUGAUUGCAUCCUAAAAUAACAACUAUAUAUGAGUGUGAAAAUAGACUAAAAAAGGAUGAAGGCAUGGUUGCAAAAAGUAUGCACAGAGUUGCAAAGGGCCAUGGUUGAGUUACUUAGCAAUUAGUCAAGUAGAUACUAGUAAUGAACAUCUGAAAGGUUACUACCAUAUUUGUAGUCUAAGAAACCCACUGAAAUUGAAAAACUUGGGUAUAUAUUUCUGAAAUAUAUGACAAAAUAAACGACUGUGGUCUCAAGUAUGGAAA
This is a long non-coding RNA of Phyllostomus hastatus (greater spear-nosed bat), 1738 nucleotides long. RefSeq lists it as uncharacterized. NCBI's taxonomy places the organism in Eukaryota, Metazoa, Chordata, Mammalia, Chiroptera, Phyllostomidae. The record is from RefSeq and is a predicted model, not a curated record. The transcript has 2 exons.